Molecule: transfer RNA, 66 nt
Filed under: Sphaerodactylus townsendi
Lineage: Eukaryota; Metazoa; Chordata; Lepidosauria; Squamata; Sphaerodactylidae
Description: tRNA-Glu
Source: RNAcentral
GGGCUCAGUGAUAGAGCAUCUGCUUUUCAUGUAGAAAGCCCCAGGUUUCAAUCCCCAGUAUCUCCA